UCUUGACAUCUACAGAACUUAGCAGAGAUGCUUUGGUGCGUUCGGGAACUGUAAGACAGGUGCUGCAUGGCUGUCGUCAGCUCGUGUUGUGAAAUGUUGGGUUAAGUCCCGCAACGAGCGCAACCCUUAUCCUUAGUUGCCAGCGAGUUAUGUCGGGAACUCUAGGGAGACUGCCGGUGAUAAACCGGAGGAAGGUGGGGACGACGUCAAGUCAUCAUGGCCCUUACGAGUAGGGCUACACACGUGCUACAAUGGUAUGUACAGAGGGAGGCAAGCCAGCGAUGGUGAGCGGAUCUCUUAAAGCAUAUCGUAGUCCGGAUCGCAGUCUGCAACUCGACUGCGUGAAGUCGGAAUCGCUAGUAAUCGCAAAUCAGAAUGUUGCGGUGAAUACGUUCCCGGGCCUUGUACACACCGCCCGUCACACCAUGGGAGUGGGUUGCAAAAGAAGUAGGUAGCUUAACCUUCGGGAGGGCGCUUACCACUUUGUGAUUCAUGACUGGGGUGAAGUCGUAACAAGGUAACCGUA
Molecule: ribosomal RNA, 526 nt
Filed under: uncultured organism
Description: bacterial SSU rRNA
Rfam family: Bacterial small subunit ribosomal RNA
Source: RNAcentral